UACAGAGGUGGCAAGCGUUGCUCGGAUUUACUGGGCUUAAAGGGCACGUAGGCUGAUGGGUACGCGAGUGGUGAAAUGCCUCGGCUCAACCGAGGAACGGAUGCUCGACCGUCCCGUCUGGAGGAGGACAGGGGCGACUGGAACUCUGGGUGGAGCGGUGAAAUGCGUAGAUAUCCAGGGGAACGCCGAAGGUGAAGACAGGUCGCUGGGUCGUUCCUGACGCUCAGGUGCGAAAGCUAGGGGAGCGAUCGCG
This 253-nucleotide ribosomal RNA is filed under the name uncultured bacterium. RNAcentral describes it as "partial 16S ribosomal RNA". It matches the Rfam family "Bacterial small subunit ribosomal RNA", at positions 524 to 776 of the family's 1533-position model. The record is from RNAcentral.